GAUAGGUCUGCGGCCGAUUAGGUUGUUGUUGAUGUAACGGAUCAACAAGCCUCCGAUCGGUACGGGUUGUGAGAGCAAUAGCCCGGAGAUGGGUUCUGAGAGAAGAACCCAGGUCCUACGGGACGCAUCAGGCGCGAAAACUUUACAAUGUGCGAAAGCACGAUAAGGGAACUCUGAGUGCCUCCUAAGGAGGCUGUUCAGGUGUCUAAAAAGCAUCUGAAGGAAGGGCUGGGUAAGACCGGUGCCAGCCGCCGCGGUAACACCGGCAGCCCAAGUGGUGGUCAUUUUUACUGGGUCUAAAGCGUUCGUAGCCGGCCAGGUAAGUUCCUUGGGAAAUUUGAUCGCUUAACGGUCAAGCUUUCUGGGAAUACUGCGUGGCUUGAGACCGGGAGAGGUCAGAGGUACCUCAAGGGUAGGGGUGAAAUCCGUUAAUCCUUGGGGGACCACCAGUAGCGAAGGCGUCUGAUCAGACCGGAUCCGACGGUCAGGAACGAAGGCUAGGG
RNAcentral lists this ribosomal RNA (503 nucleotides) under uncultured archaeon. RNAcentral's name for it is "bacterial SSU rRNA". It matches the Rfam family "Archaeal small subunit ribosomal RNA", at positions 208 to 716 of the family's 1478-position model. The record is from RNAcentral.